Molecule: transfer RNA, 88 nt
Filed under: Citrobacter koseri
Lineage: Bacteria; Pseudomonadati; Pseudomonadota; Gammaproteobacteria; Enterobacterales; Enterobacteriaceae
Also listed under: 3 other names
Description: tRNA-Ser
Rfam family: tRNA
About the family: Transfer RNA (tRNA) molecules are approximately 80 nucleotides in length. Their secondary structure includes four short double-helical elements and three loops (D, anti-codon, and T loops). Further hydrogen bonds mediate the characteristic L-shaped molecular structure. tRNAs have two regions of fundamental functional importance: the anti-codon, which is responsible for specific mRNA codon recognition, and the 3' end, to which the tRNAs corresponding amino acid is attached (by aminoacyl-tRNA synthetases). tRNAs cope with the degeneracy of the genetic code in two manners: having more than one tRNA (with a specific anti-codon) for a particular amino acid; and 'wobble' base-pairing, i.e. permitting non-standard base-pairing at the 3rd anti-codon position.
Source: RNAcentral
GGAAGUGUGGCCGAGCGGUUGAAGGCACCGGUCUUGAAAAUCGGCGACCCGAAAGGGUUCCAGAGUUCGAAUCUCUGCGCUUCCGCCA